Molecule: long non-coding RNA, 213 nt
Filed under: Elaeis guineensis (African oil palm)
Lineage: Eukaryota; Viridiplantae; Streptophyta; Magnoliopsida; Arecales; Arecaceae
Description: long non-coding RNA (EGUI_LNC055470)
Source: RNAcentral
AAUCACUGUGACCAGCCAAGAAUAAUCAACACCAGUACCACAUCCGUACACCUACAAUGGUAGAAGACUUAAUAUUUAUGGAAAGAUUUAGGUUUAGGUCUCAUCUAAUUAGUCAUCAUAUGAUCGAUGUAAUUGACAUGGGCUAAACCAAACCACCAGAUAAUCUUAUUCAAGACUCAAUCUUUCAAAUUGACCAAGUGAAGUUCAAUGGAG